GAUGAACGCUAGCGGCAGGCCUAAUACAUGCAAGUCGAACGGUAAGCUUUGUAGCAAUAUGAAGCCUAGAGUGACGUAAGGGUGCGUAACACGUAUGCAAUCUACCCUCAACAGGAGUAUAGCUCGGGGAAACUCGGAUUAACACUCCAUAAUAUUACGAAGUGGCAUCACUUUGUGAUUAAAACUGCGGUGGUUGAGGAUGAGCAUGCGUCUGAUUAGUUAGUUGGUGAGGUAACGGCUCACCAAGACGAUGAUCAGUAGGGGAACUGAGAGGUUGAUCCCCCANACUGGCACUGAGAUACGGGCCAGACUCCUACGGGAGGCAGCAGUAGGGAAUAUUGGUCAAUGGGUGAGAGCCUGAACCAGCCAUGCCGCGUGCAGGAAGACGGCCUUCUGGGUUGUAAACUGCUUUUAUCUGGGGAUAAAAAGCCCAUGCGUGGGACAUUGAAGGUACCAGAUGAAUAAGCACCGGCUAACUACGUG
RNAcentral lists this ribosomal RNA (483 nucleotides) under uncultured bacterium. Its description in RNAcentral is "bacterial SSU rRNA". It matches the Rfam family "Bacterial small subunit ribosomal RNA", at positions 28 to 507 of the family's 1533-position model. The record is from RNAcentral.